RNAcentral lists this small RNA (859 nucleotides) under Pongo abelii (Sumatran orangutan). RNAcentral describes it as "retained intron". The record is from RNAcentral. Lineage: Eukaryota; Metazoa; Chordata; Mammalia; Primates; Hominidae.
CUCCAACGUCAGCCAGCUCCCAAGCGGUUGGGCCUCCAUCCUUUGGUACAACAUGCUGGUGGCGGAACCCAGGAAUCUGUCCUUCUUCCUGACUCCACCAUGUGCACGAUGGGCUCAGCUUUCAGAAGUGCUGAGUUGGCAGUUUUCUUCUGUCACCAAAAGAGGUCUCAAUGUGGACCAGCUGAACAUGUUGGGAGAGAAGCUUCUUGGUCCUAACGCCAGCCCCGAUGGCCUCAUUCCGUGGACGAGGUUUUGUAAGGAAAAUAUAAAUGAUAAAAAUUUUCCCUUCUGGCUUUGGAUUGAAAGCAUCCUAGAACUCAUUAAAAAACACCUCCUCCCUCUCUGGAAUGAUGGGUGCAUCAUGGGCUUCAUCAGCAAGGAGCGAGAGCGUGCCCUGUUGAAGGACCAGCAGCCGGGGACCUUCCUGCUGCGGUUCAGCGAGAGCUCCCGGGAAGGGGCCAUCACAUUCACAUGGGUGGAGCGGUCCCAGAAUGGAGGCGGUGAGCGGGAGUUUGAGCACAUAGUCCCACUGUUUGAUGUGUGUGAAGUCCCUCUUCAUCACCGCCAGUCAGCUCAUACAGAUAGUGCGUUUGGGACAUGAAAGUGCAGAUCUUAUACUUACCCCAAAUGAGUCCCCGAUAGGAUUUAAUAAACCACCACAAAUGUUUGUGGUUCACUCUCUGGAACAUAUUGUGGAAAUGAUGGUUUUGAAAAGACAAUGCCAAUUCUUUCCUUUGCAUCAGGUUUGUUAUCUGCAGAUCAAGGAUGUGAGUCAAUGUAAUCUGCAACCCAUUCUUGGAAGGAAUCACAUUUCCCACAGGAGUAAGCAUCCACAUUCUCUUAGGGUCAUCCUAGAGUA